UGAGUAGGCGGUAAUAUGUGUCAGAUGUAAAAGGUUAUGGCUUAACCAUAGUUGGCAUUUGAAACUGUAUUACUUGAGUGCAGGAGAGGUAAGUGGAAUUCCUAGUGUAGCGGUGAAAUGCGUAGAUAUUAGGAGGAACACCAGUGGCGAAGGCGACUUACUGGACUGUAACUGACGCUGAGUCACGAAAGCGUGGGUAGCAAACA
RNAcentral lists this ribosomal RNA (206 nucleotides) under uncultured Sedimentibacter sp. Its description in RNAcentral is "partial 16S ribosomal RNA". It matches the Rfam family "Bacterial small subunit ribosomal RNA", at positions 568 to 774 of the family's 1533-position model. Lineage: Bacteria; Bacillati; Bacillota; Tissierellia. The record is from RNAcentral.